CUCGCCAAUUUGACGGCCUUUGACGACAAUUUGAUGGCCUAUAAUAAACAAUGCGAUUGGGCCCAGAGUCAUCCACUAGGUGGCUAGGUGACCUGACCCACACUUGUGUUGUGUCUGGAAGUUGAAGUGUGGAGGAGACUAGCUGCUACAGCUACAGCAAAGGGAGCAGCUUCUUUGCUAAUCCUCUCUACUCUUUCAGAGUUUAAUAACAAAAAAACAACUGUUAUAAUGGCUUCAAUUACAGAGUUAAAAUGCGCGCUCAGGGAAACUCUUGAAGCUCGUGGAGUAUUGGGACAGCUGAAAGCGAGGAUUCGAGCAGAGGUGUUCAGUGCUUUGGACGACCAGAGUGAACCACGGCCUCCACUGUCACAUGAAAAUCUUCUUAUCAAUGAGCUCAUCCGCGAGUAUUUGGAAUUCAACAAGUAUCACUACACAGCUUCAGUACUGACGGCAGAAUCCGGUCAGCCUGAAGUUCCUUUAGAUAGGCAGUUUGUGGCAAAUGAACUGAACGUUGUAGAGGACCCAAGUGCAAGGACAUUGCCGCUUCUCUAUGGCUUGCUGUCACAUUUCCUUCAAAGUGGAGAGACUAAGGACAAACUGUUUCUCAGAAACGCUGCCCCCUUGACCUCACAAAAGCCAAACACCAAAGACUGCUGAAUUGUACAUGUAUUGAGGCCAGUUGUUGACUGAAAUCUCAGGCCUGUGUAUUAUGGACUAAACAGGCAGGCAGAACUAGCAUGGGUCUCUGUCUUUGGAGCACAUUUAGACAAGGUGCAGGGUGAUCCUUUAUCCUUGUGGAGAGAAAACGUGAGUGUAAUCGUGAUGAAGGGCUCUGUUCUCUUUUCCGCAUUGGGAAUGGAACAGCUCCAACCUGUGCUGACGCGGCCGCCCGACGGAGACGAGCUGAUGACCUGCGCCUCUGCAUUCCUGUGCUCCAGCCCUCUCCAGCCUUUUUCCACUAAGGCUCAGAGUGCCAAGGCAAGGUUCAUGGCCAAAAAAAGAACUCGGUCAAUAGUUAUGUUUGAGGUUCCCGGUCUCUCCCCAUCCUGUCUCCACACCCAUCGGCACGCUGCUCUUGAUACUGACCAGAGCCAGAGACGGGGUUCUCUUUCCAGCCCCCUUUUUGUGCUCUUGGACGUCUCCACCUCAGCCACUGUCAUAGAGUUUGUGAGCAUACCAGUCUCUCCUUGUUCCCUGGAAACAUCGACCAUUGCCAGCGUGAUUUAUUGGACAAAAUAGGAGGUUGUCCUUAUAUAGGAAGCUCAACUAAAGAGAAACGGAGAGUUGUGGGAAUGUGCUUUAAGGGGGGUGGAUGUGGAGGAAUGUGAUUUGCGUAAAGAUAGGGGACACAACAAGGCUUGUGGGAUUUGCCUUCCUAAAACAUAUGUAAUCUAGGGAGUCUCCAUCACACCCACUCAUCUCCCCUGAUAGCCGAUCUCUCUCUUUAACAGCUGGGAUCCCUACUCACUGACAAGCAACGUUAUGCCCUUUUCAUCUGAAGUUCUAGGAGAUAAUAGUUAGGGCACCCAUAAAAGUCACAGUGACUGACUCUUCUGGCUGUGUCAGGAGCUUCAUGUCUGGAGCUUCACCGUGUCUCAGUGGGGGUUCGACUACCUUAAUAAUGUAAUAAUAAAGUAGUAUAGAAAACAAACCUGCUUUAUUGGACGUUCUGUUUGCUGUCUCAUUGCUUCCUGUAAUUGUAU
RNA transcript from Alosa sapidissima (American shad), 1703 nucleotides. It is a transcript of the gene named centrosomal protein 20, with no coding region annotated. The transcript has 7 exons. The record is from RefSeq and is a predicted model, not a curated record. NCBI's taxonomy places the organism in Eukaryota, Metazoa, Chordata, Actinopteri, Clupeiformes, Clupeidae.